CCUACGGGAGGCUGCAGUGGGGGAUAUUGCACAAUGGGGGAAACCCUGAUGCAGCGACGCCGCGUGAGUGAAGAAGUAUUUCGGUAUGUAAAGCUCUAUCAGCAGGGAAGAAACUCACAGUACCUGGCCACCACGCCCCAGCUAACUACGUGCCAGCAGCCGCGGUACUACGUAGGGGGCAAGCGUUAUCCGGAUUUACUGGGUGUAAAGGGAGCGUAGACGGUGAUGUAAGUCUGGAGUGAAAGCCCGGGGCCCAACCCCGGGACUGAUUUGGAAACUGGGUAACUGGAGUACAGGAGGGGCAGGCGGAAGUCCUGAUGUAGCGGUGAAAUGCGUAGAUAUCAGGAGGAACACCGGCGGCGAAGGCGGCCUGCUGGACGACAACUGACGGUGAGGCGCGAAAGCGUGGGGAGCAAACAGGAUUAGAUACCCCUGUAGUC
Molecule: ribosomal RNA, 440 nt
Filed under: uncultured bacterium
Lineage: Bacteria
Description: partial 16S ribosomal RNA
Rfam family: Bacterial small subunit ribosomal RNA
Source: RNAcentral